GUGAAAGGUCACAUCAGACACAGAUAAAUUCUAUUGCUUUGGAAUGUUGCACAGCAAACAAUUAUACCUGGUGGGACUCUUUACAGGAGCGUGCCUAUUAACGAUGGGGAAGCAGACCUGCUUUUCUUUGUACCACAUCUCUGAACAAAAGAAGAGAAGUGUUGGUUCUGCAGGUUGCUGCUUGUGUGGGCGGGGGACCGAAUUCGCUGCCUCUGGGUGGAGAGGAGAAGCUCACCACUUUCCACACCCAGUCCUGAACUGCAAGAAGGGAAACCUACCCAGCAGCUGGAAGGAAUCCAGAAGACGUGGACCAACCCACAGCUUCUCCCUUUGGAGAGAGGUGUGUCCAUCCGUUUCUCAGGCCUGCUGAAGCCUUGAGAUUAUUGAGGGAUUGCUUGCCUCGGAGGCAUUUCACUUCAGCAGGCUCAGUCCUGGCCAGCAAUGUUCCACGCUCUCUAAAUAGACACGCUUGGCCGGCUGAGAAUGUGAAAUCCCAAAAACCACAGCUGCUGACCUAGAGUUCUGUAGACCCCCUCAGCCCCUUAGGACCAAAGAAACCCAGCAGUGGACAGCCCUGUGUAGG
RNAcentral lists this long non-coding RNA (583 nucleotides) under Equus caballus (horse). RNAcentral describes it as "lncRNA (ENSECAG00000028681.2)". The record is from RNAcentral. Lineage: Eukaryota; Metazoa; Chordata; Mammalia; Perissodactyla; Equidae.